CGAACGCUGGCGGCGUGCUUAACACAUGCACGUCGAACGGAAAGGCCCUGCUUUUGUGGGGUGCUCGAGUGGCGAACGGGUGAGUAACACGUGAGUAACCUGCCCUUGACUUUGGGAUAACUUCAGGAAACUGGGGCUAAUACCGGAUAGGAGCUCCUGCUGCAUGGUGGGGGUUGGAAAGUUUCGGCGGUUGGGGAUGGACUCGCGGCUUAUCAGCUUGUUGGUGGGGUAGUGGCUUACCAAGGCUUUGACGGGUAGCCGGCCUGAGAGGGUGACCGGCCACAUUGGGCCUGAGAUACGGCCCAGACUCCUACGGGAGGCAGCAGUGGGGAAUAUUGCACAAUGGGCGGAAGCCUGAUGCAGCAACGCCGCGUGCGGGAUGACGGCCUUCGGGUUGUAAACCGCUUUCGCCUGUGACGAAGCGUGAGUGACGGUAAUGGGUAAAGAAGCACCGGCUAACUACGUG
RNAcentral lists this ribosomal RNA (466 nucleotides) under uncultured bacterium. RNAcentral describes it as "partial 16S ribosomal RNA". It matches the Rfam family "Bacterial small subunit ribosomal RNA", at positions 30 to 507 of the family's 1533-position model. The record is from RNAcentral.